RNAcentral lists this non-coding RNA (29 nucleotides) under Mus musculus (house mouse). Lineage: Eukaryota; Metazoa; Chordata; Mammalia; Rodentia; Muridae. The record is from RNAcentral.
UGCAAGACGUUCACCCUCAAAAGAGGUUA